CACAAACUCCAAACCUUCAAUCAAACUAUAAAUCUAUUUGUCCCACAAAUCAUUCUCUAAAUCUUGUUCAGUGUUUCCUCCAGACUCCUGAAUGUUUGACUUGUACAAUCUGAGGCGAGAGUCGAGUCAGCUAAAUGACUUCAUCUUCACGUUGGAGCUGCUAAACCGUGUGGAAUCACCGGCUGUGAAAAGUGCUGCUGCAGCUCGCUGACUGGCUGGGAAACAUCACCUGCUGAUGCAUCUUAACUUUGACUUUAAACGCUCUGCGACAAAUCAAUACUUCACUACGCUGCACCUACUCAUGUAGACAUCAUUGCACCUGCUAAUCCUCACACUAACACUUUCUCAAUCAGCCAAUGAAGUCAUUACUCGCACCAGGGGCUUUUGCUUCAUCUGGUUUUCUUUUAUUCUCACUGUGGACGGGACGGAGGCUGAAUGAAGGAACGAGGAAGGCAAAAGCACAAAAGCAUAUUGCACCCUGGAUGGUCAAACAGAGCAGGCGGAGAUGAGCUGGUAUAAAUACUGUGGAGGUGAUUAGGGAACGAGGAACAGGUGAGCAGGUGGAUGGAGUCAGGUGACCGAUGGGAAAGACUGAGAGCAUCUAGUGGAAGGAGGGAAGUCUGAAGGAAGUGAGGAGUGGCACCGAUGUUUGAACUUUAAGAGGAGACACCACAUGGGAAAAGGCUGGCGAUGGACGCAAACAGACUCAUGCUACACAGCGGCUAGCCGGGUCCCCGCCGCCCGCCGGACGCCGGACGCCGGACGCCACAGAGCUCAGGGAGACGAGAGGCAGAAUUUAUCUCUGACAGGCAGCUUUCUCCCAAAACUCUUCCUCCACGUUUCUCCACCAGGAACCUCUUUUUUAUUCUCGUCAUAAAACAAAGUAAAACGACUUCCUGCUUCUAACAGAGAGUCUUUGCACUCAAAGCUUUGUGUGAUGAAAUUAAACUUCUAGCAGAGAAAGCGCCGGCUUUCAUCGAGGUAUCGCAGCAACAGCAGCAAACGUGUUUCCAACAAGCAUUAGUUCAGCACUGCUAACGCUAAUAAAAGACGUUCCCGGUGGACACAGA
This is a long non-coding RNA of Sebastes umbrosus (honeycomb rockfish), 1070 nucleotides long. RefSeq lists it as uncharacterized. The transcript has 2 exons. The record is from RefSeq and is a predicted model, not a curated record. NCBI's taxonomy places the organism in Eukaryota, Metazoa, Chordata, Actinopteri, Perciformes, Sebastidae.